Molecule: ribosomal RNA, 465 nt
Filed under: uncultured bacterium
Lineage: Bacteria
Description: partial 16S ribosomal RNA
Rfam family: Bacterial small subunit ribosomal RNA
Source: RNAcentral
GACGAACGCUGGCGGCGUGCUUAACACAUGCAAGUCGAACGGAAAGGCCCUGCUUGCCGGGUACUCGAGUGGCGAACGGGUGAGUAACACGUGGGUGAUCUGCCCUGCACUUCGGGAUAAGCCUGGGAAACUGGGUCUAAUACCGGAUAGGAGCCAUUUUUAGUGUGAUGGUUGGAAAGUUUUUUCGGUGUAGGAUGAGCUCGCGGCCUAUCAGCUUGUUGGUGGGGUAAUGGCCUACCAAGGCGGCGACGGGUAGCCGGCCUGAGAGGGUGGACGGCCACAUUGGGACUGAGAUACGGCCCAGACGCCGACGGGAGGCAGCAGGGGGGAAUAUUGCACAAGGGGCGCAAGCCGGAUGCAGCGACGCCGCGGGGGGGAGGACGGCCUUCGGGUUGGAAACGCAUUUCGCUAGGGACGAAGCUUUUUGUGACGGUACCUAGAGAAGAAGCACCGGCUAACUACGUG